GUGAGAGAGAGAGAGAGAGAGAGAGAGAAAUUUUGGAUUUUGUGUGUGUGUGUGUGCAUGUGUGUAUAGUGAGAACCACGUAUUCAAACCAUUCCCUAUUUCUGCACCUUAUCCUGCCAAUUACAAUCUGCUUGAUGGUGUGAAACUGACAGCCGGCAGCAGUGAUGGAGACAGGAGGAACGGUGAACAAGGGCUUUGUGCAUUCUCAGCUUUAGAGAGAAUGUUCAGUGGGGCAGACAGGCAUGUAACUGGCAGGUUUAGGAAUCAGUAAAAACCAAGAACUGGAAGUCCUAAUUUAUUGUCUGUUUCAAUACAAGGCUGGACACAGGCUAUUUAAUAUAAUGCAUUGUUUACAAGUGGAGGAGAGUGGAAGUUAUUGAUGCAUUACAAAUGCAGGCAAAUGCAUCUCAUAAGCCAAGGGUUAGGUAAUAACUAUUGCAGAAGACUAAAUUUGACUUUAAUCCCCUGAAGAAUGGCAUGCAUACAGCUUAAAAUGAUAAAAGCUAGAGGGGGUGGGGAGAGAGGGAAAGAAAGGAGGGAGAGAAGGAGGCAGAGUGAGACAGAGGCUGAGAGACAGACAGAGAUAAGAAGGGAAAUGAGAGCUGAUUUUCUCCUGGGAUUGUCUAUUUCUUGAUUAGGAAAUAGAGUGGAAAUUGAGAGAAAAGAUUUUUGAAGACCUCGUUUUGAUAAACAGCCUCAUGCUUGGCAGGGUGUUUUUGGUGGCAGGUCUGGUGUCUGCAUGGUGAAGCAGCUUGGAGUGAUUUACAGACCUGCCAAUCCCUUAGAUAAUCCCAAAGACAGAAAUAGAAAACAAGUCCUAGUUUGACCAGUGCACGUAGCCUGGUCUGUGUCCUUCUCCUGGGGUAUCUAGAGCCAUGGCCACAGUGGCUGGCUGUACACAAGCUUACUUGGUCUUUAGGGUUAAAAUUCCCCCACUGUUGACACAGUGCACUAUACUUUGGGCAGAGUAGGUGUCCUGUGAAUGCUGGCAGCGUGAACAUGGGGUGACGCAGGCGCCCACGAAGAAAGGAUGUGUCUGGACUCCAUAUUUUCAGUCUCAGCUGUGAAAGUGACUUCAGAGUAAGCAAAAGAGAGUCAGCUCCCCACCCACACUGAAAUCUCUCUGCAUCAUUUAUUGACAAAGGUGUCCAAAUGCAGAGUGGAAAAACCACACGAUAGGGUACCUCCUACCCCUGGCGCAACCCACUCCUAUGCAGAACGGGACUUAAGAAUGAUCACCACGUAUUGGGUAUGUGGCCACUGCUGUGCUGAAAUCUCUACGUGGCUUAUCUCUCUUUAUGCUUACAUCCAGCUCAGGAGGUAUUAAUCAUUAUUUCCUUUUAAAAGACAUAGAAACUAAGGCACAGAGAGGGUUCACAGCUGGUAACUGGUGGAGAAAGGAAGAACUCAAACCCAGGCAGAUUGACUCUGCACGCUGUGCUCUUAACCAUCAAGGAUGAUCUUCCUUAAGUUGACCUGAAGUCUGCCUCUCCCUCCUCCCUGCGGUAUCUCAUUGCAACGGUUAGUCUCAUGCGAUGGUGUGCCCAGUGCUGGAUUUCCAUUAUCAACCUGAGUCACAUUUCCUGGUUUCUGGAUGUGUUUGCAGGGUACCAUCUGCCUUCUCUGGUGAUCCAGUGGCAAACAGAGGGAGAAAGGAGAUUGGCACUGGAAGAUCUUUCUGUGACAGCUUUCUAACUGUGACAGCCAAGUGCAUCCAGCCUGGGUCACGGAACACAGAGAGUCCCUGAUCAUAACUGCAUGAAGUCACUAUUUGUGGAUCACUCUGAGAUAAAUGAGUGAACUCACUCUGGAGAAUAAGCAGUGGUCUGGGUGACCCCAUCUGUGUGCUUAGGCUGGUUGAAUCCUGAGGACAGCCAGUAAUCUCACCUCUCUAGGCUAACCCCAACACAGCAGGCCCUGAGCAAACAUUUGUCAACUAUCUGAUCUGACAGCAUUCCGGCUGAGAGCAAUGCUGCCAGCCCAGGUCCUUAGAAGGGCUGAGCCUGGAGACAGAACACGUUUUUAUUUAGAAGCUUGAUCUUGACCAUUUGGCCAUGACUUUGGGGUAAAUAGACCUCACAGCCUGGAGUCCUAUUCCCUUGCAACUGGCAUAUAUUUUUGCACUUUGUGUCUUAUGCGUGUCUGCCCAGGAAGCAUGAUGGGGCCCCUCCUGGUUUCCUGUGGGAACUUGUGGACAGGUCACCUUCUUAAUCUAGGAUAGAAGGGCUCCCAGGAUGUUUAAAAGAGAGAAGCUAAACCAGUCCAGACAAAACAUACGGCACGCCCCAAACCAAAUGGAUUAUUUCCUUCUUUUUCUGAGUGCCAUUUCUCCUGAGUUUCUACCAUAAUUUUCGCAGUCACACAAGCUUGAAAAAUCAGAGGCAUCUUUGUCGUCUCUUAUGGCUCUCACAUCCAAUCAGUUGCCCAGUCCUAGUUAGUCUGUCUCUGAAAUGUCUCCCCCUAAAAAGAUCUGUAGGUAGUUUGAGUCUUUUUAGCACUCAUUGGAUCAACUGUAGUUGAUUUCCUAAGUGGUUUCCUUGUCUCCAGCUGUCAACCCACUUUGGAUGCUCCUAAUUCUGCACAUAGGCAGAGAAAGAACUUCCUAGUGCAGCGGUUUUCAAAUUGAGCCCGAGGAGCACUAGGGUUUCCCCGCCAUGUGUUAAGGCCUUUUCAAUAGGCCAGGAACCAGGGCUCAGGUCCGCAGGAGUCUUUUGGGGCCCUCACUGCAAUUUAACCAGUUCCAAUUUCUAAUUUUUUUGAGAUCUGAAAAAUAAAAAGACUUAAAAGGCCAUAAAGGAACAACUCUACUUUAAAAAAAAUCUCUUUCAGGACUUUGAUGUGAAAUUCCACGUAAGAAAUGUGUUCCUAAGGAUUUUGAAAACUCUUGUCCAAAACACAAGACCCUACUGAAGGAGCUCUGAGAUAAAGUCUUUGUCUUGACUUGAAAGCUCUCCAGGCAGGGUUUGGGGAGCCAUUUGCUCAUGGGAAAGUUACCUCCUUCGUUCUCAAAGACUCAAAGACUAAUGGGGCCUGGGACAUUUGGGUUUCUUACAAACCAGGGGUAGGGGAUAGUCAAGAGUGAGGAGACUCAAAGGGAUGAUUGGUUAAGUUGGUUCAUGCUCCAGGGUUUGUUAUCAAAUCACUGGAAAGGUAAAACUGGAAAUGGUUUGAGCUGAAACUGAAAUCUAACAGGAGAACCAUCAAGACACCCCCACAGCACACCAGCAAAGGGCAUUUCUCCCUCUGCAGCUGGUAGGGUGAUGUGUACCUUUGGCAGUCUACAGAGGGAGAUGAUUCCCAGGGAAUUCUUGUCUCAUUUGUGCCUUACAAGCAGAACCAGAGGACAAAAGCUCAGCUCAAAGAGAACAUAAGAAGUGCAGCAUUUGGGGUCCAGCUUUCUUUCUGGUCUCUGAAAUGGAGUGUGUAAGGUUUCUCAAAGCUGGACUCAGGUAUGCUCUGCCUCCAGCCUCAGCUUACGAGUCAGCUCUGCCUUUCCAAAAGGAGCAACUGAUCCCUUGAGAAAGUUGUGGCCUUUGUUUGGGAGUGUUUUCUGAUUUUGGCUGUCAUGCCCAAGACCAACACUGAGGUUGGGUGAAUACUUGGAACAAAUGAGCCGUUACAUGUGAAAGGAAAUCUAACUGCAUCCUUUAUGCAGGGAUUCAAAACAGCUUCUAUGUGGUGGGGAAUAUUUACCUUAUUUGAAGCUGAUAUUGUCAACAGUUAUCAUAGAACAGGAAUUUUGGGGGAACACAGAGCUUGCAGGCAGAGGUACUCUGAGAGCGACAGAAAGCCACAGUCAUCAUGUAGAAGAAAAAGCCAGCCCUGAAAUGGUGAAUUAUUGACAACUGGGCAUUCGGCGGAGAGCACUGGAAGGAAAGUAGGCACUCUUCUAUAACCACAGCAGACGCAGGCACUUUCUAAAAUCCAGGGCCAAGAGGCAGGUAUUUUCUUCAAUUUAUAAUAAUGACACUGAUAUCAGGAAGUAACCAUUCUGGCACAGACUAGCAUGGAACAAGAACAGCCUGGGACACAGAGAUCGCAGAGGCUGGAUAACAUGGGAAGAAAAUGAGUCCCUACAGGAGGAGACAAAGGCAACUCCUCGUCACAUCUGACUAAGGGGCCUCACCAGCUCCUUAAUGCCGGGAGACUGGAAGUUAAUAUCAGAAGCCUAUGCAUACUUCUUAUUGUUUGUAGGAUUAUGUCCACAUUAACUGCAUAAUGAAGCAUGUGUAAUUGUCAUUCUAUGGCGCACAGUUAUUGAUUGGCAACCAAUGUUUCUGUUAUCUUCAUAUUGCCUUGAGUUAGGGAGCCGCUCUAGGGGUUCCCAAAGACUGAUCUGUGAAGCAGCUGGAAGCUUCUGACUUCUGCAGCCACCAUUCUGGCCCCUGAACAUUGUCCUAAGGGAAGACAUUCCUAGCAUGGAGUCCUCCUGUCUGUAUAUGCUACAUGUGACUCAGCUCUUGUUUCAGAGUUGAUAAUCACUGCAGUUUACUGCCUUGAUAUGUUUCUAGGUUUUCUUAUUCUUUUUGGUCUUUCCAGUGCUUUCUCAAUGCUCCUAAAGAUCUCAGGAGAUGUAACACAGGGGUGGGGAGACAUAAACAGUACCAAGAACUGAGCUCCUUCAGUGGGUUUUCUCUGAAUAGAAGGAGAAGGACAAGAAAACAAGAGAGAAGGCAUAGAAACAUGUUUUAUUGGCAGGGUGCCACUGCCAAAAAAUUACUCACACUUGUAAUUCCAGUACUUUGGGAGGCUGAGGUGGAUGGAUCACGAGGUCAAGAGUUCAAGAUCAGCCU
This is a long non-coding RNA of Sapajus apella (tufted capuchin), 4793 nucleotides long. RefSeq lists it as uncharacterized. The record is from RefSeq and is a predicted model, not a curated record. The transcript has 3 exons. Lineage: Eukaryota; Metazoa; Chordata; Mammalia; Primates; Cebidae.